Molecule: small nuclear RNA, 103 nt
Organism: Ochotona princeps (American pika)
Lineage: Eukaryota; Metazoa; Chordata; Mammalia; Lagomorpha; Ochotonidae
Source: RefSeq, a predicted model, not a curated record
UAGCUUUGGCAGCACAUAUAUUAAAAUUGGAGCAAUACAGAGAAGUUUAACAUGGCCCCAGCGCAAGGAUGACACGCAAAUUCGUGGAGGUCAUUUUGUCUUA